AAUGCAGUCGAGCGAACAGACAAGGAGCUUGCUCCUUUGACGUUAGCGGCGGACGGGUGAGUAACACGUGGGUAACCUACCUAUAAGACUGGGAUAACUUCGGGAAACCGGAGCUAAUACCGGAUAAUAUUUCGAACCGCAUGGUUCGAUAGUGAAAGAUGGUUUUGCUAUCACUUAUAGAUGGACCCGCGCCGUAUUAGCUAGUUGGUAAGGUAACGGCUUACCAAGGCGACGAUACGUAGCCGACCUGAGAGGGUGAUCGGCCACACUGGAACUGAGACACGGUCCAGACUCCUACGGGAGGCAGCAGUAGGGAAUCUUCCGCAAUGGGCGAAAGCCUGACGGAGCAACGCCGCGUGAGUGAUGAAGGUCUUCGGAUCGUAAAACUCUGUUAUUAGGGAAGAACAUACGUGUAAGUAACUAUGCACGUCUUGACGGUACCUAAUCAGAAA
Molecule: ribosomal RNA, 452 nt
Filed under: Staphylococcus epidermidis
Lineage: Bacteria; Bacillati; Bacillota; Bacilli; Caryophanales; Staphylococcaceae
Description: bacterial SSU rRNA
Rfam family: Bacterial small subunit ribosomal RNA
Source: RNAcentral